AGCAGCCGCGGUAAUUCCAGCUCCAAUAGCGUAUAUUAAAGUUGUUGCAGUUAAAAAGCUCGUAGUUGAAUUUCGGGGUUAGUAGGUUGGUCAUGCCUCUGGUAUGUACUGGUCUCACUGAUUCCUCCUUCCUGAUGAACCUUAAUGCCAUUUAUUUGGUGUUUUGGGGAAUUUGGACUGUUACUUUGAAAAAAUUAGAGUGUUUAAAGCAAGCUAACGCUUGAAUACAUUAGCAUGGAAUAAUGAAAUAGGACGUUCGAUCCUAUUUUGUUGGUUUCUAGGAUUGACGUAAUGAUUAAUAGGGAUAGUUGGGGGCAUUAGUAUUCAAUUGUCAGAGGUGAAAUUCUUGGAUUUAUUGAAGACUAACUACUGCGAAAGCAUUUGCCAAGGAUGUUUUCAUUAAUCAAGAACGAAAGUUAGGGGAUCGAAGACGAUCAGAUACCGUCGUAGCCUUAACCAUAAACUAUGCCGACUAGGGAUCGGAUGAUGUUAAUUUUUUAAUGACUCAUUCGGCGCCUUA
This 520-nucleotide unclassified non-coding RNA is filed under the name uncultured Glomus. Its description in RNAcentral is "SSU rRNA". It matches the Rfam family "Eukaryotic small subunit ribosomal RNA", at positions 569 to 1090 of the family's 1831-position model. The record is from RNAcentral. Lineage: Eukaryota; Fungi; Glomeromycota; Glomeromycetes; Glomerales; Glomeraceae.